This 253-nucleotide ribosomal RNA is filed under the name uncultured bacterium. Its description in RNAcentral is "partial 16S ribosomal RNA". It matches the Rfam family "Bacterial small subunit ribosomal RNA", at positions 524 to 776 of the family's 1533-position model. The record is from RNAcentral.
UACAGAGGUCUCGAGCGUUGUUCGGAUUCAUUGGGCGUAAAGGGCGCGUAGGCGGCGGGGUAAGUCUGGUGUGAAAUCUCGGAGCUCAACUCCGAAAUUGCACUGGAUACUGCUCUGCUAGAGGGCUGGAGAGGAGAUCGGAAUUCACGGUGUAGCGGUGAAAUGCGUAGAUAUCGUAAGGAAGACCAGUGGCGAAGGCGGGUCUCUGGACAGUUCCUGACGCUGAGGCACGAAGGUCAGGGGAGCAAACGGG